ACUGGGCAAUGCUUGCUGCCAAGUCGGGUGCUUGAAGGUCUAAAUAGGAUUGAAAUUCUAUUCUGCUGGAAAUUUUGUUUUCUCUUCAUGACAUUAAAAAUAUAAAGGUUUGUUUUUGAAGGAAUAUUAGCAUCCUUUUCCAUGGAAAUCAAUACAAAAAAUUGUAUGGUGUAAAAACUAAGUGUUGUGCCAUGAUGUAAAUUCAUGUUAUCAUUUAGGGAAAAGGCCCCUGUUUCUUUUCUCUGUGUUAACAUAACUGAUAAAGCAUGAAACUUAUUAGUAGAUUAGCAGAUCAGUAAUGCAUCUUAGCUCAAGUGUGGGAUGAAAAUAUUUAUAAGAAUAAGAAAAGCGUUUAUUGGAGUUGUCAGUGUUACUGGCAUGAGAGGUUGGCUUGCUUGCUCAUAAUCGAACUUUAAUACUGUGUUUGGAUAAUUUUUUAGAGAGGAAAGAAAGCAAAGAGAGGAAAAUAAAAAAUAUUCUUUCCUUUGUUAUUUUCCCCUCUUUUGUUUGGAUGAAAGGAAAAUAAAAGUAGAAAUGAAAAUAAAUUUAUUUUUCUUUGUUUACAAAGACUUGAAAAUAAAGAGAGGAAAGAAAGUUGUGAUUAAUUUACAAUUUUAUCCUAUAUAUUUAAAAAAGAACUUAAAUAGAAAGGCUAAUUUUGUAAUUUUUUCAUAAAAAGCACUUUUCCUUCACACUUUUCUGUUAUUUUCUCUCCAAAUUGGAGA
RNAcentral lists this unclassified non-coding RNA (725 nucleotides) under Hevea brasiliensis (rubber tree). The record is from RNAcentral. Lineage: Eukaryota; Viridiplantae; Streptophyta; Magnoliopsida; Malpighiales; Euphorbiaceae.